This 253-nucleotide ribosomal RNA is filed under the name uncultured bacterium. Its description in RNAcentral is "partial 16S ribosomal RNA". It matches the Rfam family "Bacterial small subunit ribosomal RNA", at positions 524 to 776 of the family's 1533-position model. The record is from RNAcentral.
UACGGGGGAUGCAAGCGUUAUCCGGAUUUACUGGGUGUAAAGGGCGUGUAGGCGGGGAAGCAAGUCAGAUGUGAAAACCACGGGCUCAACCUGUGGCCUGCAUUUGAAACUGUUUUUCUUGAGUGCUGGAGAGGCAAUUGGAAUUCCGUGUGUAGCGGUGAAAUGCGUAGAUAUACGGAGGAACACCAGUGGCGAAGGCGGAUUGCUGGACAGUAACUGACGCUGAGGCGCGAAAGCGUGGGGAGCAAACAGG